UUUUACCUCUGUCUGUCAGUCCGUCCGUCAGUCCGUCCGUCAGUCAGUCCGUCCCAUGAAACUUUCGUCACAUUUUUCUCAGGAACUACACAUCCACCCUUUCUGUAAUUUGGUAUCAACAUUUAUAUAUGUCAGCCAUACCGUGUGAUGCGUUUUCAGAUUCAUCACUUGACAACUUCCUGUUUACCGAACACUUGUAUGAUUUUACACAUGAUAGCCAAGUUGAAAAUUUUCGUCACAUUUUUCUCAGGAACUACAAUACAAGGAUUUCUGAAAUUUGGUUUCAGGAUUUAUAUAAGUCAGCUAUACCGUGUGAUGCGUUUUCAGAUUCAUCACUCGACAACUUCCUGUUUACCGAACACUUGCAUAUUUUUACACUAUUAAUAGUAUCCACUUGCGGCGGGG
RNAcentral lists this long non-coding RNA (405 nucleotides) under Mytilus galloprovincialis (Mediterranean mussel). The record is from RNAcentral. Lineage: Eukaryota; Metazoa; Mollusca; Bivalvia; Mytilida; Mytilidae.